This 164-nucleotide ribosomal RNA is filed under the name Pinanga patula. RNAcentral describes it as "5.8S rRNA". It matches the Rfam family "5.8S ribosomal RNA". From Rfam's summary of the family: 5.8S ribosomal RNA (5.8S rRNA) is a component of the large subunit of the eukaryotic ribosome. It is transcribed by RNA polymerase I as part of the 45S precursor that also contains 18S and 28S rRNA. Functionally, it is thought that 5.8S rRNA may be involved in ribosome translocation. Lineage: Eukaryota; Viridiplantae; Streptophyta; Magnoliopsida; Arecales; Arecaceae. The record is from RNAcentral.
AUGAUGACUCUCGGCAACGGAUAUCUCGGCUCUCGCAACAAUGAAGAACGUAGCGAAUUGUGAUGCCUGGUGUGAAUUGCAGAAUCCCGUGAACCAUCGAGUCUUUGAAUGCAUGUUGUGCCCGAGGCCACCAGGCCGAGGGCAUGCCUGCCUGGGCAUCAUGC